Ananas comosus (pineapple) is the source of this 1399-nucleotide long non-coding RNA. RefSeq lists it as uncharacterized. The record is from RefSeq and is a predicted model, not a curated record. The transcript is spliced from 5 exons. Lineage: Eukaryota; Viridiplantae; Streptophyta; Magnoliopsida; Poales; Bromeliaceae.
UUAUCACACCCCCUCAUUCCCCUCGCUCUCAUCCUCCUCCUCCACAUCCGAACAAAUCGUCUUUUCCUAGGUCGUAUCCUCUUCUCCCCUCGCUCAAACCCCCUCGCUCUCCUCCUCCUCCUGCGUCGCCUCAACCGAUGAGCUAGGGUUCCGGCGGCCAGAGUUCGGCCGCGAGGAUCUCGCGGGGACCGUCGCCGGAGGAGUAAGCUCCAAACGUCGAGGCGAUGACGGUGGUGGGGAAGCAGGAGUCCGGCGACUUGGUUGUGCUCGCGGCGGCGUCGAAGGCGUGGAAGGGGUAGACAGAGAGAAGGAUUUAGUGAAGAUCCUUCGGAUCCGUUGGUUGUCAGAACAAAGAAUCUGGUGAUAUUUUCAUGUGUUUUCAGAGGAGUUCAAUGUUUUGUAACUGUGAAGUCCUCAUAAUUCUGAUUCUCAGCAUAGAAGAUCUUCAAGGUUUCUGUCGAGCUAAACCAUAAGAUAAUUAUGGCUAUUGAGAGAAAGAAAGCUGUGCUAUAUAUUGGAAAAGUUCUGAGAUUUUCCAUCAGAUUAAGCUACUGAUCCGUUUGCGAUCAUCCCAUUUCUUUCAGUAUAGGCUUUUUGCUAUUUUUAUUGUACAGAUCUUUUCCUUCUUUAUUCUAUUUUAUGCUUUCUUCUUCUCCCGUAAUUGUAUGCACUCUUCUUCUCGGAGUCCUUUUAAGUAGUGCUUUUAAUUUAUUAUGAUGUAUUGUUCUUGAAUUUGUGUAUCUUUUCUUUCCUCUAUUAUCUAUUGUUGAUGAUGUGCAUAAAGGUGUGGAUGUGUAUUUCUGUACAAAUGAAUGCUAGAGAUACUAAUUCAUAGCUCCUAAAGAUGUUGACAGAGCCAUUGAUUUUACGGCCUAAUUAUUAGGAUGAAGCAUUAGAUAGAUGAAUUGUUUUUGCAUUCAUUAUUCAAUGGGUAAAUUGCAAUUUCUCCUAAGAAUUUGGUUCCUGAAGAUACUUUAAUAAGCUUGUGUAUAAGACUCUUUUUGUUACACUUUUGUUAUUGCAGCUUGUGAGUCCCGGUGCAUGGUUAUGCGACCUACCUCUAGAAAGAUAUGAAGUCCGCGAAAAGAAGAUUUCUAAAAAGGUUUCAGACGCAUCUAGCGCUCGUAAUAUUCAUCCACAACCUCAUUGCCCUUCAGGUUCAGCAUCUUAAUUGCCGAGAUCACUACGACUGGAUCUGAUAUGAUAUUAUUAGCUUUUGUUUUCAAUUCUCUUUCUCUUGGGUUGAAAAGCUAGAAAUUGUUGGUACUCGUUUAAAGAUAUAUGGAUAAUAUCUUGAGACAUUUUGGUAUUAAUUAGUGUAACUACAAAACUUCUUUUAUAUGAUUUCUUUGUUAAUGCAAAUCAGGGCGAAUAAAAUUAAAGAUAUGCUUAAUGAUAA